GAAACCGAUCAAACCAACCACAGAGCACCUGCGGGCGCUCACUCGGGUGCGUGCGCGCACCCCGGGUGGGGCGGCCCGCCGUCGUAUCUCGGGACCCGGUCCUCCGGGCCCCGCCCAAACCCAACCAACCCUUCUGCCCUGAAGCAGCUUCGCAAGGGGACACCCCGCGCGACAGUAACAGAGACAACUCUCAACAACGGAUAUCUUGGCUCUCGCAACGAUGAAGAACGCAGCGAAAUGCGAUACGUAGUGUGAAUUGCAGAAUUCCGUGAGUCAUCGAAUCUUUGAACGCACAUUGCCGGUCGACUCUUCGGAGGAGACCACAUCUGCCUCAGCGUCGGAAUACCCCCUCACGCCCUCCCGCGUGGACCUAGCCCCCCCGGACUCCUCGAGAGGCCGGGCCGGCUGAAAUGCAGAGGCUCGUGCGCGGCCCACCCCUGUGGCCCCGACUAGGUAGGUAGCUCGCUACUGCUAGGCGGCGGCUCGGUGCCGCGGACUCUGGGCCCCAGAGGAUACCCCUAUUCAAUCGACCUGAGUUCAGGUGAGG
Molecule: ribosomal RNA, 547 nt
Filed under: Ulva prolifera
Lineage: Eukaryota; Viridiplantae; Chlorophyta; Ulvophyceae; Ulvales; Ulvaceae
Description: eukaryotic LSU rRNA
Rfam family: 5.8S ribosomal RNA (bases 186-340)
Source: RNAcentral